AAAGUGAAGGGUUUGAUCCUGGCUCAGAAUGAACGUUGGCGGCGUGGAUUAGGCAUGCGAGUCGCGCGAGAAUGUAGCAAUACAGGACAGCGGCGAAAGGGAGAGGACAACACGGGAAUCUGCCUUGGGGACGAGGAUAGCUCUGCCUUGGGGACGAGGAUAGCGUCGGGAAACUGACAGUAAUACUCGAUAAUGUUUGCGGACCAAAGGUGUGAUUCCGCCCCAAGAUGAGCCCGUGCCCCAUUAGCUAGUUGGCAGGGUAAUGGCCUACCAAGGCUAUGAUGGCUAGCUGGUGUGAGAGCACGACCAGCCUCACUGGCACUGAGACACUGGCCAGACACCUACGAGUGGCUGCAGUCGAGAAUCUUUGGCAAUGGACGAAAG
Molecule: ribosomal RNA, 384 nt
Filed under: Planctomycetota bacterium
Lineage: Bacteria; Pseudomonadati; Planctomycetota
Description: bacterial SSU rRNA
Rfam family: Bacterial small subunit ribosomal RNA
Source: RNAcentral